UUCUCCCUGAUACUUUAAGUAUCCUAAAGGGUUGUCGUAGACUACGACGUUGAUAGGCAGGGUGUGUAAGCGUUGUGAGGCGUUGAGCUAACCUGUACUAAUUGCCCGUGAGGCUUAACCAUACAACACCCAAGGGGUUU
This 140-nucleotide ribosomal RNA is filed under the name Vibrio alginolyticus. Its description in RNAcentral is "partial 23S ribosomal RNA". The stretch from base 1 to 122 matches the Rfam family "Bacterial large subunit ribosomal RNA", at positions 2809 to 2925 of the family's 2925-position model. The record is from RNAcentral. Lineage: Bacteria; Pseudomonadati; Pseudomonadota; Gammaproteobacteria; Vibrionales; Vibrionaceae.